GGAGAACGCUGGCGGCGUGCCUACACAUGCACGUCGAGCGGAUCGAUGGGAGCUUGCUCCCUGAGAUCAGCGGCGGACGGGUGAGUAACACGUGGGUAACCUGCCUGUAAGACUGGGAUAACUCCGGGAAACCGGGGCUAAUACCGGAUAACACCUACCCCCGCAUGGGGGAAGGUUGAAAGGUGGCUUCGGCUAUCACUUACAGAUGGACCCGCGGCGCAUUAGCUAGUUGGUGAGGUAAUGGCUCACCAAGGCGACGAUGCGUAGCCGACCUGAUAGGGUGAUCGGCCACACUGGGACUGAUACACGGCCCAGACUCCUACGGGAGGCAGCAUUACGGAAUCUUCCGCAAUGGACGAAAGUCUGACGGAGCAACGCCGCGUGAGUGAAGAAGGUUUUCGGAUCGUAAAACUCUGUUGUUAGGGAAGAACAAGUGCCGUUCGAAUAGGGCGGCGCCUUGACGGUACCUAACCAGAAAGCCACGGCUAACUACGUGCCAGCAGCCGCGGUAAUACGUAGGUGGCAAGCGUUGUCCGGAAUUAUUGGGCGUAAAGCGCGCGCAUGUGGUUUCUUAAGUCUGAUGUGAAAGCCCACGGCUCACCGUGGAGGGUCAUUGGAAACUGGGAACUUGAGUGCAGAAGAGGAAAGUGGAAUUCCAAGUGUAGCGGUGAAAUGCGUAGAUAUUUGGGAGGCACAC
RNAcentral lists this ribosomal RNA (697 nucleotides) under Bacillus sp. HPC946. RNAcentral describes it as "bacterial SSU rRNA". It matches the Rfam family "Bacterial small subunit ribosomal RNA", at positions 28 to 709 of the family's 1533-position model. Lineage: Bacteria; Bacillati; Bacillota; Bacilli; Caryophanales; Bacillaceae. The record is from RNAcentral.